This 582-nucleotide ribosomal RNA is filed under the name Halorubrum kocurii. RNAcentral's name for it is "bacterial SSU rRNA". It matches the Rfam family "Archaeal small subunit ribosomal RNA", at positions 383 to 964 of the family's 1478-position model. Lineage: Archaea; Methanobacteriati; Methanobacteriota; Halobacteria; Halobacteriales; Haloferacaceae. The record is from RNAcentral.
AAGUGCGCAGGCAUAGAGCUGCGCUUUUGUUCACCGUAGGGAGGUGAACGAAUAAGGGCUGGGCAAGACCGGUGCCAGCCGCCGCGGUAAUACCGGCAGCCCGAGUGAUGGCCGAUUUUAUUGGGCCUAAAGCGUCCGUAGCUGGCUGCGCAAGUCCAUCGGAAAAUCCACCCGCUCAACGGGUGGGCGUCCGGUGGAAACUGCGUGGCUUGGGACCGGAAGGCGCGACGGGUACGUCCGGGGUAGGAGUGAAAUCCCGUAAUCCUGGACGGACCGCCGAUGGCGAAAGCACGUCGCGAGGACGGAUCCGACAGUGAGGGACGAAAGCCAGGGUCUCGAACCGGAUUAGAUACCCGGGUAGUCCUGGCCGUAAACAAUGUCUGUUAGGUGUGGCUCCCGCUACGAGCGGGUGCUGUGCCGUAGGGAAGCCGCUAAACAGACCGCCUGGGAAGUACGUCCGCAAGGAUGAAACUUAAAGGAAUUGGCGGGGGAGCACUACAACCGGAGGAGCCUGCGGUUUAAUUGGACUCAACGCCGGACAUCUCACCAGCAUCGACUGUAAUAAUGACGAUCAGGUUGAUG